UACGUAGGGAGCAAGCGUUGUCCGGAAUCAUUGGGCGUAAAGCGCGCGUAGGCGGCCCUGUAAGUCCGUUGUGAAAGUCAAAGGCUCAACCUUUGAAAGCCGAUGGAUACUGCAGGGCUAGAGUCCGGAAGAGGCGAGUGGAAUUCCUGGCGUAGCGGUGGAAUGCGCAGAUAUCAGGAGGAACACCAAUAGCGAAGGCAGCUCGCUGGGACGGUACUGACGCUAAGGCGCGAAAGCGUGGGGAGCGAACAGG
This 253-nucleotide ribosomal RNA is filed under the name uncultured bacterium. RNAcentral's name for it is "partial 16S ribosomal RNA". It matches the Rfam family "Bacterial small subunit ribosomal RNA", at positions 524 to 776 of the family's 1533-position model. The record is from RNAcentral.